RNAcentral lists this ribosomal RNA (428 nucleotides) under uncultured bacterium. Its description in RNAcentral is "partial 16S ribosomal RNA". It matches the Rfam family "Bacterial small subunit ribosomal RNA", at positions 354 to 796 of the family's 1533-position model. The record is from RNAcentral.
GUGGGGAAUAUUGCGCAAUGGGGGAAACCCUGACGCAGCAACGCCGCGUGAUUGAAGAAGGCCUUCGGGUUGUAAACCUCUGUCCUUGGUGACGAAAAAAAUGACGGUAGCCAAGGAGGAAGCCCCGGCUAACUACGUGCCAGCAGCCGCGGUAAUACGUAGGGGGCGAGCGUUGUCCGGAAUUACUGGGCGUAAAGGGUGCGUAGGUGGCCUUUUAAGUUGGAUGUGAAAUACCCGGGGUUAACUUGGGGGGUGCAUCUAAUACUGGAGGGCUAGAGUGCAGGAGAGGGAAGCGGAAUUCCUAGUGUAGCGGUGAAAUGCGUAGAUAUUAGGAGGAACACCAGUGGCGAAGGCGGCUUUCUGGACUGUAACUGACACUGAGGCACGAAAGCGUGGGGAGCAAACAGGAUUAGAAACCCUAGUAGUCC